This is a long non-coding RNA of Grus americana (Whooping crane), 2473 nucleotides long. RefSeq lists it as uncharacterized. The record is from RefSeq and is a predicted model, not a curated record. Lineage: Eukaryota; Metazoa; Chordata; Aves; Gruiformes; Gruidae. The transcript is spliced from 2 exons.
AAUCCUUGAAUACGGAGACACCUAUUUUCUCUUCUGUUCUUGACUGCCUCUUGCACUUGACUCUGCUUUUAAGACUGCAAAACGGGAAAGUGGCUACCCUGAGAAAAAUCUGGGGUAAGCGUGUUUGACCAUGGCUGCGUUCUGAAGGAUUCUCUGGUAAAGGGAAGAGACCUGUUUCAGAGAUUUACCUUUGCCGGAGCAAAAAUUAUCCAAGCUGCCUUCAUAAUACAUCUUAUAUUUCUGCUGAGAUAACAAAGAUAGGUAACAAUUAAUGCAAGAUUUGAAAUGACUGUCAGCCUACAUGAGCCUUGAUAGAGACCUUCACAAAGAACCUCUUGACUGGUUGUCAGAGAUCGUUUUCCUUUGCUGUCACGUUGGGCUGUAUGCCAGCCUGCAGUCCGGAGGUGAAUGAUUCUGUAGCGACACGUGAAAACUAUUAAAUAGUCUUGUCUGAACUUGAAUAGUCUAUGCCGAACAGAAUAUAAAAUGAUAAUUAUGAAGAAGUUUGUGGAUGAUAUGAUGUGCAGUGAGUUUGACUGUGCAUUUUGUACGUAUUCCAUGCCAAAUUUAUGAAUGAAUACUCAACUUCUUCACAGGGAUGCACGCUGACUUGCCUGUUGGAAGGAAUGCAACAUGCUGAAACGAAAACAAGCAACUGUUGGCUCUGAGCAGGUCCUAGAGUUUCAUGGAGCUGAAAAUACUGAAGUGAAACCUUUUCAUCGACAGUAUGUUCCAGCCUUCUCUGGGCAUACUGUCCCUGCUGACUCCGGGCAACCAGGGAUGCAAUUGCUCACUCAAGCUUAAACGGGUCCUACCGGGACUCGUGGAGGGGCUGUGUAGCAUAUGGCCUGCAAAGGUUGAGUUAUUUCUUCUGAUCUUAGCUUCUGUGAAACGCAACGGUGUAAACUUGAACAACCAUGGUCAUUGCUCUUAGGACAAUGAGUAUAUUUUUUUUGCUGGCAAGAAUCCCUUGCAAGAUCUGCUUUAUUUUCUCAUACUAUUCUUUUCGUUGCCAGCACUAGUAGUUAGCCCGUUAUAAUUCAACUCCCACUCUGGGCAGGCUUCCUCCUGUGUUCACUAAGAAAGCAUGCUGGCUGCAAGGAUAGGAUGUUCAUUUUCACAGUUCAUGUGAACUGUAGGACAGAGGACGAGAUCGCAAUGUUCUCACGAUUCUCUCUUAAUGCCAGCAUUUAAUGAUCCAUUGCACUUUUUUCCUUUGUGCUAAAUACCACCAAAAUAACAUGUUUAUUUUUCUUCCUUCUUAUGAUGAUGAGAGUAGACAGAGUGCAACUGUCUUGUCUUCUCCACCUGUUCUUUUGUGCGUGAAUGACCAGAACAUACUGAUAAUGUCCCUUUGCGCUCCGAGGCUGCAGUUCUCUACUAACCUUGUUAUAUCAGAUCUCGGGAAUGGAAAGAGGAAGAAAAUGUGUCUGUACUUCUGUGCAAGCUUCUUUUUUUAAACCGAAAGAUCUUCAAAUACUGCCCAUUUGGGAAAGAAUAAGAAUAGAAAAUGAGCAUCCAGUUUUCCAUGGAUCCCAAAGUUUUGAUUUGUUCCUGUUUGAUAAAUUGUCACUUUUUUUCCCUCAAGGUGUAGUUAACAGAAUAUAUCACCUGCAAAACCAGAUUUGAAUUUAUGUAACUUAAGGGGAUGGACUUUUCCUUGCUAGUCGGUGACAGCGAUCUGAUUCCGCUCCCAAAUGCGAUCAGACAGAUUUUAUUCUCUCCCCUCCUGCCCUCCACCUCCAGGACAUUUACAGGUGGGCAUGGGUAAACUUUCCUAGCGAGGUAAUGCCAGAAAUGUCUUCAGGGUUUUUAUAAGUUUUAUCCUUUUUUUAGUGAUCAUAGUUGAGCCCAAACAACUUGCUUUUUAACUACCAGAUGUUCAGUGUUGGUUUUGGCAGAGCUCUACAGACCCAGGUUUCUUUAUCAGGACUAAUAUUUUCUUGAAUUUGCAUUUUGAUGCAAAUGUGUUGUAGAUGAUCUAUCUGAUAACAGUAACUAAUGCACACUAAUAUUAUGGCUUAAUUUUUAUUUUUUUUUUUACUAUAAAUCAUUCUGAUUUGCUUUUUAAAAUUGAAGCAAAGGCUGAUGUAAUGCUUCUGCCAUCCUUUGGUUUUGUAAAAUAUUUUUUGAUUCAAGUAUUAUUUAUUUACUCAUGACAAUGAGUCACCAGUAGACAAAUAGAUCAUUUACUCUGCUUGCAGUAGGUUAACAGUAAGUGUUGAAAACUGACAAAGGGACUUGUUUUUAACAGUUUCGUAUCAUUGUAGUUGUACUUUUGAGGAUGGAAGACUAUAGUAGCUUGGCUAUCUAAGCUAACAGAAAAGAAGAAGGUUGUACUGUAAGCUGAUGUUCUAUGUGGCAUUCCUUCUGCACGUGUAACAGGGAGGGAAUUGGAUUCAACUGUCUGUUAUUUCUGGAUGGUUCCACUUGUUUCAUUACAAUUGUGGGAAUAAGUCCCGUGUUGUUGAAA